UAGCACGUUUCCAGUGGCUGUGGCUGGUUGUAGAAAUGGGAUCUCGAACUGCAUUGGAGAGCAACCUAGAGAGACUUUGACAGCUCAGGUCAGCAUUAUACCUGCAGCUGCCACUCGCCUUUCCUUUGGUA
Small nucleolar RNA from Molossus molossus (Pallas's mastiff bat), 131 nucleotides. RefSeq annotates it as small nucleolar RNA SNORA44. Lineage: Eukaryota; Metazoa; Chordata; Mammalia; Chiroptera; Molossidae. The transcript has a single exon. The record is from RefSeq and is a predicted model, not a curated record.